RNAcentral lists this ribosomal RNA (230 nucleotides) under Pleosporales sp. RNAcentral's name for it is "partial small subunit ribosomal RNA". It matches the Rfam family "Eukaryotic small subunit ribosomal RNA", at positions 1358 to 1563 of the family's 1831-position model. Lineage: Eukaryota; Fungi; Ascomycota; Dothideomycetes; Pleosporales. The record is from RNAcentral.
GCUUAAGGUACGUACUAAUCCCUUGGGUAACCAAGCUCUAACGAUGAGACCCGACAGGUUGAGGCGUUAGAGGGCAAAGUCUUCGCGGCUUUUGCUGGUAGAUGAGCUCUUUUGAGCACAUCAACAUGCUGUGAUGCCCUUAGAUGUUCUGGGCCGCACGCGCGCUACACUGACAGAGCCAACGAGUUCUUCACCUUGGCCGGAAGGUCUGGGUAAUCUUGUGAAACUCU